GCCGGUGUAGCUCAGUUGGUAGAGCGGCUGAUUUGUAAUCAGCGGGUCGGGGGUUCAAAUCCUCUCGCCGGCUCCA
RNAcentral lists this transfer RNA (76 nucleotides) under Gammaproteobacteria bacterium. RNAcentral's name for it is "tRNA-Thr". It matches the Rfam family "tRNA". From Rfam's summary of the family: Transfer RNA (tRNA) molecules are approximately 80 nucleotides in length. Their secondary structure includes four short double-helical elements and three loops (D, anti-codon, and T loops). Further hydrogen bonds mediate the characteristic L-shaped molecular structure. tRNAs have two regions of fundamental functional importance: the anti-codon, which is responsible for specific mRNA codon recognition, and the 3' end, to which the tRNAs corresponding amino acid is attached (by aminoacyl-tRNA synthetases). tRNAs cope with the degeneracy of the genetic code in two manners: having more than one tRNA (with a specific anti-codon) for a particular amino acid; and 'wobble' base-pairing, i.e. permitting non-standard base-pairing at the 3rd anti-codon position. Lineage: Bacteria; Pseudomonadati; Pseudomonadota; Gammaproteobacteria. The record is from RNAcentral.